This 253-nucleotide ribosomal RNA is filed under the name uncultured bacterium. RNAcentral's name for it is "partial 16S ribosomal RNA". It matches the Rfam family "Bacterial small subunit ribosomal RNA", at positions 524 to 776 of the family's 1533-position model. The record is from RNAcentral.
GACGAACCGUGCGAACGUUGUUCGGAAUCACUGGGCUUAAAGGGCGCGUAGGCGGGUUUUCAAGUCUGUGGUGAAAUCCUCCAGCUUAACUGGAGAAGUGCCGUGGAUACUGGAGACCUCGAGGAGGGUAGGGGCAUCUGGAACAGCCGGUGGAGCGGUGAAAUGCGUUGAUAUCGGCUGGAACUCCGAUGGCGAAGGCAAGGUGCUGGACCCUCUCUGACGCUGAGGCGCGAAAGCUAGGGGAGCAAACGGG